RNAcentral lists this transfer RNA (73 nucleotides) under Sphaerodactylus townsendi. Its description in RNAcentral is "tRNA-Gly". It matches the Rfam family "tRNA". Rfam says of the family: Transfer RNA (tRNA) molecules are approximately 80 nucleotides in length. Their secondary structure includes four short double-helical elements and three loops (D, anti-codon, and T loops). The record is from RNAcentral. Lineage: Eukaryota; Metazoa; Chordata; Lepidosauria; Squamata; Sphaerodactylidae.
AGGGGUAGUGGCUCAGUGGUACAGCCUCUGCUUGCCGUGCAGAAGGUCCCAGGUUCAAUUCUUGAUAUCUCUA